Molecule: small RNA, 739 nt
Filed under: Pan troglodytes (chimpanzee)
Lineage: Eukaryota; Metazoa; Chordata; Mammalia; Primates; Hominidae
Description: processed transcript
Source: RNAcentral
GGAUGUCAGACCUUGAUAUUCUACAGAUAUCUUUAAUGCUUUCCCUUACUGAUGCUAAAGGGAGCAACUUGAUAUUUCAAUCCUUGUUUUUGUGUGCCAGUAAAUAAGAUGUCUCUCAUAUUUUUCUUUUCAGACUUAUAAACAAGCUACAGCCAGGCUCAGUGAAGAAGGUCAACGAGUCCUCACUGAACUGGCCUCAGUUGGAGAAUAUUGGCAACUUUAUUAAAGCUAUUCAGGCUUAUGGUAUGAAGCCACAUGACAUAUUCGAAGCAAAUGAUCUUUUUGAGAAUGGAAACAUGACCCAGGUUCAGACUACUCUGGUGGCUCUAGCAGGUCUGGCUAAAACAAAAGGAUUCCAUACAACCAUUGACAUUGGAGUUAAGUAUGCAGAAAAACAAACAAGACGUUUUGAUGAAGGAAAAUUAAAAGCUGGCCAAAGUGUAAUUGGUCUGCAGAUGGGAACCAACAAAUGUGCCAGCCAGGCAGGUAUGACAGCUUACGGGACUAGGAGGCAUCUUUAUGAUCCCAAAAUGCAAACUGACAAACCUUUUGACCAGACCACAAUUAGUCUGCAGAUGGGCACUAAUAAAGGAGCCAGCCAGGCAGGGAUGUUAGCACCAGGUACCAGAAGAGACAUCUAUGAUCAGAAGCUAACAUUACAGCCGGUGGACAACUCAACAAUUUCCCUACAGAUGGGUACCAACAAAGUUGCUUCCCAGAAAGGAAUGAGUGUGUAUGG